AAAGCGGGAAUUGUGUGGGGGGCGCGGAUAAAGUUUUUUUUUUUCUUUGGGACCCCCCCGGGGGGAAAAGGGGUCUUUGUGGUUUUUUUUUGCCCCUGGGGUUAGGAAAAAUUAGGGGGGCGAACGGGGAUUUAUAUCCCCCGGUUGUCCUAGCUUUAACCGUGAACCACUUGAUUGAAGGGCCCCCCCCUUAGGCUUUCCGUUGGAAGGGAAAGGAUUAAGUGUUUCCGCCUGGGGGGUUAUGUCGCCAAGGGUUAAAAUUCAAAGGAAUUGACGGGGGCUCCCACAAACCGGUGGAGGAUGUGGCUUAAUUGGAGGCUACGCGAAGACCUUUAUCCUAGUCUUGACAUGCACGGAUCAACCCGGUGAAAGCCGGGCCACGCCUUCGGGUGGAACGUGCACAGGUGCUGCAUGGCUGUCGUCAGCUCGUGUCGUGAGAUGUCGGGUUAAGUCCCUUAACGAGCGAAACCCUUGUCUCUAGUUGCCAGCGAGUAAUGUCGGGGACUCUAGAGAGACCGCCGGUGUUAAACCGGAGGAAGGUGGGGAUGACGUCAAGUCCUCAUGGCCUUUAUGACUAGGGCUGCACACGUCCUACAAUGCUGCGCACAAAGGGAUGCAAAAUCGUGAGAUCGAGCAAAUCCCAAAAAACGCAGCUCAGUUCGGAUUGCAGGCUGCAACUCGCCUGCAUGAAGCUGGAAUCGCUAGUAAUCGUAGGUCAGCAUACUACGGUGAAUAUGUUCCUGAGCCUUGUACACACCGCCCGUCAAGCCACGAAAGUGGGGGGGGCUUAAAGUCGCUACGCUAACCGUAAGGAAGCAGGCGCCUAGAGUCAACUCCGCGAUUGGGACUAAGUCGUAACAAGGUAGCCGUAGGGGAACCUGCGGCUG
This 887-nucleotide ribosomal RNA is filed under the name uncultured bacterium. RNAcentral's name for it is "partial 16S ribosomal RNA". It matches the Rfam family "Bacterial small subunit ribosomal RNA". The record is from RNAcentral.